Molecule: ribosomal RNA, 535 nt
Filed under: Escherichia coli
Lineage: Bacteria; Pseudomonadati; Pseudomonadota; Gammaproteobacteria; Enterobacterales; Enterobacteriaceae
Description: partial 23S ribosomal RNA
Rfam family: Bacterial large subunit ribosomal RNA
Source: RNAcentral
CUGUAAGCCUGUGAAGGUGUACUGUGAGGUAUGCUGGAGGUAUCAGAAGUGCGAAUGCUGACAUAAGUAACGAUAAAGCGGGUGAAAAGCCCGCUCGCCGGAAGACCAAGGGUUCCUGUCCAACGUUAAUCGGGGCAGGGUGAGUCGACCCCUAAGGCGAGGCCGAAAGGCGUAGUCGAUGGGAAACAGGUUAAUAUUCCUGUACUUGGUGUUACUGCGAAGGGGGGACGGAGAAGGCUAUGUUGGCCGGGCGACGGUUGUCCCGGUUUAAGCGUGUAGGCUGGUUUUCCAGGCAAAUCCGGAAAAUCAAGGCUGAGGCGUGAUGACGAGGCACUACGGUGCUGAAGCAACAAAUGCCCUGCUUCCAGGAAAAGCCUCUAAGCAUCAGGUAACAUCAAAUCGUACCCCAAACCGACACAGGUGGUCAGGUAGAGAAUACCAAGGCGCUUGAGAGAACUCGGGUGAAGGAACUAGGCAAAAUGGUGCCGUAACUUCGGGAGAAGGCACGCUGAUAUGUAGGUGAAGUCCCUCGCGG